Molecule: ribosomal RNA, 596 nt
Filed under: uncultured Halomonas sp.
Lineage: Bacteria; Pseudomonadati; Pseudomonadota; Gammaproteobacteria; Oceanospirillales; Halomonadaceae
Description: bacterial SSU rRNA
Rfam family: Bacterial small subunit ribosomal RNA
Source: RNAcentral
UGCAAGUCGAGCGGAACGAUGGAGCUUGCUCCAGGCGUCGAGCGGCGGACGGGUGAGUAAUGCAUAGGAAUCUGCCCGGUAGUGGGGGAUAACCUGGGGAAACCCAGGCUAAUACCGCAUACGUCCUACGGGAGAAAGCAGGGGAUUUUCGGACCUUGCGCUAUCGGAUGAGCCUAUGUCGGAUUAGCUUGUUGGUGAGGUAAUGGCUCACCAAGGCGACGAUCCGUAGCUGGUCUGAGAGGAUGAUCAGCCACAUCGGGACUGAGACACGGCCCGAACUCCUACGGGAGGCAGCAGUGGGGAAUAUUGGACAAUGGGCGCAAGCCUGAUCCAGCCAUGCCGCGUGUGUGAAGAAGGCUUUCGGGUUGUAAAGCACUUUCAGUGAGGAAGAACGCCUUGGGGCCAAUACCCCCGAGGAAGGACAUCACUCACAGAAGAAGCACCGGCUAACUCCGUGCCAGCAGCCGCGGUAAUACGGAGGGUGCGAGCGUUAAUCGGAAUUACUGGGCGUAAAGCGCGCGUAGGCGGCGUGAUAAGCCGGUUGUGAAAGCCCCGGGCUCAACCUGGGAACGGCAUCCGGAACUGUCAGGCUAGAG